Molecule: non-coding RNA, 968 nt
Filed under: Eolophus roseicapilla (galah)
Lineage: Eukaryota; Metazoa; Chordata; Aves; Psittaciformes; Cacatuidae
Description: Eolophus roseicapillus (galah) 12S ribosomal RNA
Rfam family: Bacterial small subunit ribosomal RNA
Source: RNAcentral
AAAAGACUUAGUCCUAACCUUACCGUUAAUUUCCCGCUCAACAUAUACAUGCAAGUAUCCGCACCCCAGUGCAAACGCCCCCAGCCUCUUACCAAGACAAAAGGAGCAGGCAUCAGGUACGCCCAUAACGCAGCCCAAGACACCUCGCCCAGCCACACCCCCACGGGUACUCAGCAGUAAUUAACAUUAAGCAAUGAGCGAAAGCUUGACUUAGUUAGAGCUACCAGGGUUGGUAAAUCUUGUGCCAGCCACCGCGGUCAUACAAGAGACCCAAAUUAACCGUACACGGCGUAAAGAGUGGGCUCUAACUAUCACAACCAACUAAGAUAAAACUACAACCUAAGCUGUCAUAAGCCCAAGAUGUUCAGAACCCCACCAAAAAGCUGAUCUUAGCACCUGCGACCUAUCUACCCCACGAAAGCCAGGGUACAAACUGGGAUUAGAUACCCCACUAUGCCUGGCCCUAAAUCUUGAUGCUUACCACACAAAAACAUCCGCCUGAGAACUACGAGCAUAAACGCUUAAAACUCUAAGGACUUGGCGGUGCCCUAAACCCACCUAGAGGAGCCUGUUCUAUAAUCGAUAACCCACGAUACACCCGACCCCUCCUUGCCAAAACAGCCUACAUACCGCCGUCGCCAGCCCACCUUCAUGAAAGCACAAUAGUGAGCUCAAUAGUUUACAACCACUAACAAGACAGGUCAAGGUAUAGCCCAUGGAGUGGAAGAAAUGGGCUACAUUUUCUAAGAUAGACAAACCCAACGAAAAGAGACUUGAAACCUGCCUCUAGAAGGCGGAUUUAGCAGUAAAGAGGGACAAUAGAGCCCUCUUUAAGCCGGCUCUAGGGCACGUACACACCGCCCGUCACCCUCAUCACAAGCCACACCAACAUUAACUAAAACACCAAACAGCUGAAGAUGAGGCAAGUCGUAACAAGGUAAGUGUACCGGAAGGUGCACUUAGCACAU